CAUCUAAGUACCCUGAGGAAAAGAAAUCAACCGAGAUUCCCUUAGUAGUGGCGAGCGAACGGGGACCAGCCCUUAAGCUGGUUUGAGAUUAGUGGAACGCUCUGGAAAGUGCGGCCAUAGUGGGUGAUAGCCCCGUACACGAAAAUCUCUUGCCAGUGAAAUCGAGUAGGACGGAGCACGAGAAACUUUGUCUGAACAUGGGGGGACCAU
This 210-nucleotide ribosomal RNA is filed under the name Pseudomonas sp. 250J. Its description in RNAcentral is "partial 23S ribosomal RNA". It matches the Rfam family "Bacterial large subunit ribosomal RNA", at positions 199 to 456 of the family's 2925-position model. The record is from RNAcentral. Lineage: Bacteria; Pseudomonadati; Pseudomonadota; Gammaproteobacteria; Pseudomonadales; Pseudomonadaceae.